CCGCCCAUUCUCAGCAUCCGCGGCCGUCCGCUGCCCGCCGCCAACUACUCCCCCUCCCCAUACUGCCCUGGCCAUCCCAACCGUCGUCAUCCACGCGCCGAUGUGCUCCCUUAUCUAGCGGCAAGAGGAGUACAUCAGCUCUCCAAAGAGGAGUCCGAGUCAGGGUCGACCUGCUUCUGGACUUCCCUCCUUGAAUCCCCCAUUGAAAGCAUAUCGCCUUGGUCAAAUUCGGCCGCCCUCCUCGAUUCCAUUUACCCGCUGCGGCGCCCAACUACUCCACCCACGAUAUAUUCCUACGGGUAGGAGGUGAAUGACAUUCUUUAUCAGAUUCUACUCCUACAUAGUAGUCCAACACUCCAUGGAAAAAAAGAAGGUUCCUCUAAACCUCCCUCUGAACCUCCAGAAGACUGAAGCAAAGAAAUAGCGACCAGAUGACUGAAUACGAGAUUGCAUCUUCUCCUUUUUUUCUUAUUUUGUUUUUAGUGUAAUGCAUCUUCUCAUUUUUUUUUCUUUUGUUGAAUCAACUCAAUUUUGUUUUCUCCAUUGGAUAGGUAGGUAUGCAGAUAAGUGUAAAAAUAAGCUCAACUUACUCAUAGAUUUGUAUCAUGUCAGUGUAUAGAGGCAUAAUCAUAUGCGACUAUGCUUUUGUUUUGAGAAACCAGAGCUUCUAUUAUUACCAGUGCAUGCUCAAGUCAUGCUGAAUACAGGGAAGCAGUACAUUCAGUAGAAAAAGAAUAGGAUGAGGAUUUAGGGGCUAUGCUCAUCAUUCAAUUUUUGCCACACUCAUUCAGUACAAGUCAUUUCGCUUCAAAAUCGAAGCUUCAAAGGGCUAGCAGAGCUGAGACCGAUGGGUCACCGUCGCUUCAGAAUCAAUUUAGUUAACUCUCAGAUAUGAAGCUAGCAGAGCUGA
This is a long non-coding RNA of Triticum dicoccoides, 910 nucleotides long. RefSeq lists it as uncharacterized. NCBI's taxonomy places the organism in Eukaryota, Viridiplantae, Streptophyta, Magnoliopsida, Poales, Poaceae. The record is from RefSeq and is a predicted model, not a curated record. The transcript has 3 exons.